Molecule: long non-coding RNA, 4267 nt
Organism: Mya arenaria
Lineage: Eukaryota; Metazoa; Mollusca; Bivalvia; Myida; Myidae
Exons: 5
Source: RefSeq, a predicted model, not a curated record
UGGCCUUUAUCACUAAGAUGUAUCGAAGGGUGUCGGUAAUUGAAUGUAUUGUGUGCUACCUUUGAUGGUAAAUCUAGGUAUUGAAUAAGGCAUCAGUUAUACAUUAUGCGUUAUAGGUUUGAAUAUACUGCAGCAAUUGCGUCGGCAAACCAGUUACAGAAAUUAUUUAUUGAGCUUUUGUUUAUAGACACUCUUUAUUGAGAGGUAAACUUAAAAUGUAUUAGGAGGAAGUAGUGGUUGAAGUUUUGUACGAUUAUAGAAACAGGCCAUUUGUUUUGCAUUUUUCAACAAAUACGGAAAUAAAUUUCUAGGUUUCAACAUUAUGUAUAUGGCUAUAUUUCUUUUCCUUAUUCGGUUCACGAUGUACAUCUAAGUUUAUAAGGUAGUAAUGAAUCUAUGCAUUUUGUAUUUUUUUCCUGUUUUUGCGAAUAAAUAAUUUUAAAAUAGGUUAUGUCGUUGGAUUAAGUAGGAGUUGGAACCUUUCCAUCUAAGUGUUCGAGCUUCACUGUCCGUCAUGCAUGCACCUGUGCGUCUGAAAUGUUUUGGCAAUACUUGCCAUUAAUCGAGGUUUAUCAACUGAACCUGGACGCUAAUGCGACGGUUAUUAUAGGCGGGAAGGAGGUGGACUGCAGUCAAAAUUGUGUGUGUUGUAAAGGAGGAACGUCAAAAUGUGGAUAUGAUAACAUAUGUACAGAAGGAUGUGUUGAAACCAUACAUGGUCACAGAUGUCAUCAAUCAUGUCACAAAAACUGCUACUCGUGCGAAUAUGAAUUUGGCAAUAUAUGUUUUACCUGCAAAGAUACAUUCUAUGAUAAGAUCAGUUUGGGUAGCAAGAGGUGUUCUGUCGGGUGUCACGAUGGGACCUGUAAUGACAAUGGAGCAUGUAGCUCAUGUAAAGCUGAUUUCGAAGGUCCUAGGUGCGAGCCUUGUAUGCCAGGAAAAUAUGGUUCAGAUUGUAAAUUAAACUGCGCAUAUCAGAACUGCCGAUGUACGACUGACAGAGAUUGUAUUUCUUGUCAAAAUGGCUUCUUUGGCAGCAACACUCAUUGUCAAACACCUUGUUCCACUGGAUGUCAAAAUGGCGUUUGCAAUGAUGACGGAACUUGUAAUUGUACCUCAGUAUUGAAUGGAACUACAUGCAGUGAAUGUUUAUCCGGAUAUCAUGGGAUGCACUGCGAUGAACAGUGUUCCGUAGGCUGUGUAAAUAGUCAAUGUUCAAAAGAUGGUACGUGUACCUGUCGAGACUAUUUUCCAGGAAAAACAUGUGAUUCAUGUUCAGAUUGACGAUAAGGUGAUCCUUGUGAUCAAGUCUGCAGUGUUGGUUGUAACAAAACAAUGGCUUGUGAUAGACACAACGGCUUCUGUAAAUGUCUUCCUAAUUUUACAGGCGAUAAAUAUAAACAAUGCAUAGGCGGCCUUUACGGACAAUCAUGUUACUGACAUUGUCCGGAUACUUGCAAAAGGGGUACAUGCUCACGAUAUGAUGGGACAUGCACACAUGGUUGUGUUGAUGGAUAUUCGGGUGACAAUUGCACAAACCCGUGUGACAAUAUAUGCGCAACAUGUCUACAAUAUAGCACAUCAUACUGCGUUUCGUGCUUAAAUGGUUACACUGGAACAACAUACCGAUGUCCUCCUAACUGCAUUUGUACGGUUGGACUUGAUAUUUGUAUUUCAUGUACACAUGGUUAUGAUAAUCCUGAACAACAAUGCACGUGUCAAUCGAAAUAUUGUCUCGAGAAUGAAUGUGAUCAAUGUAUUAACCAGACGUUUUACGUUGAUAAAAAAUGCGUGCUGUUCAUAUCCUGAUCAUUGCAAAGAUGGUGACUACAGGGAAGGACCUGAAUGUAUUUCUGGUUGCAUGGACGGCUUUUACGGUUUGGAUUGUUCUCAAAGUUGCUUGUCCCUGAGUGCGGACUGUUUACGAUGUACUCAGACGUAUGGAAAGUGUUUGGAAUGUAGCGAUGGUUUUUAUCCAAAUGACUAUGGAAGCUGCAUAAAUUGCAGUAUUAGCUGUAUGAGUGGGCUUUGCAAUUCUGCGAAAGUAAAUGGCUGCAUCAAUGAUCUUGAAGGCAGAGAUUGCUCAGAACGACGAAUUUACAUUGGUUCUUCAACAAUAAAUGCCCUCUCAGCUUUAUCGGUAGUUUUGGGCAUUUCGCUUAUUUGCACAGCUGCUGGUUGCUAUCUGUGGAACAGACGAAUGUAUAAACCAACAGAACCGGAAGAUCAGCUUGAAACUGAGAUGACCUAUGAACAGCUACAAAGACAGGCAAACGAACCAACAUACACGAAUGCUGACGAAAAUUAUUCCGUGCUUUCAACGUAGAAGUUAAAAACAGUUUUUUUGCAUGAGAGAAUGAGUAUAACGAGAUUUUGCAUUUUUAUUCUGAACUUUAAGAACACAUUUAGGUUUGGUUUUACACCUGUUGCCAGUAGAUAUAAAUUUGCAGUCGUAGUAUUAGUAUGUAUCGAGAAUUGAUUAUAAUUAAUUUCAGAACAAUAUAUCCAGUGUGUACAUCAUUUUACGUUAUGUAUGUAUAUAUUUUCGUCAUACAUGUAACACUACAUGUUUAGGACGUCCUGUUUUGUGCCCGAAUGCUCUAAACACUCUGUAUAUGUUGGGAAAAUGUGAAGUGGAGCUUGGUUAGUUAGUAAACGCCGCCGUAUGUGGUUACCCUUACACUUUAACAUGGUCAUUGAUACGUAUUAGGCUGCUGGGCUUAUCCAGUAAAGUAAAACAUAGUUACCUUUCUGACAAUAUGAAUCUUAUAUUGUAGACCUCCAUCCAAAUACACACUACGACAUAAUCAAUAAACUGGUGACUCUGUCGAUCGUGCAUCCAACAUACGACCACUGUACUAUGUUUUAGAACUGUCUAACAACAGUGAACUUCUCGGUCUACAGUUCUAUAACCGACCACAUUUAUGUUAAUAUGGAGUUGCAACUGUUUUGCAAGAUGAUGUAAGUGUAACAGCGUAUACAUAUGUUUAAUACUUAUAAGGACUUUUGAAACUUGGUGUGUGUCUGGAGUUUCCAUAGUAUUAUUACAACUGUACGUGAUUAAAAAUAUUUCACAAAACAACAAAAAACAACAACAACAACAUACAACUGUAUUGAACAGUUCUGAACUGAAACAAAGUAAGUACAAAAUGUUAGUAAUUAUAGUAAUAAUUUCGUUUAAUUUGAACGGAUAUUUUAAAUAUGGUUAAUUUUUAUAUGUUAGAAUAUUACCAGUCAUAUUAUACUACAUUAUACUAUCCCACCAUGGUUUUUAUUAUUGAUUUGUUUCGUAUCAUAUACUAGAUGGUUUAUAAAGUUGCAUACUCUUAUGUACCGCUAUUAUGGACAGCAUUAGAAGUGUGUUUAUAUAUAAGUUAAAAAAUUAUAACCCUUACUUGGAAAGAUAUUACUAUGCAGUAUAUUUUGGUUGUUGUUUAUUCAUAGUGUAUCAAGUUGUUACAUAUGAGUGUUGAGCCGUUGAUAUACAAUGAUUCUCUGCAGUUCUUUUACCAAAACAAUUUUCCUAAUCUAAUUUGAUUCAUAUAAGAAUAUUACAGGAAUAUAUAUAAAUAUUUGGUUAUUUCUAAGGCUCCCUAUAGUUGCAUAUUGUAUAGGCUGUCCGAUGUAAAGAGUUACAUAUAUUUGUUAAUAUAAAUAUCAUUAAAGAACAAUUGUUUUAGCUAUCGUGAAACUAUAUGUCCACAAAAUGAAUUAAGCUAAAACGCACGUUACAAUUAAAAUUAUACACUAACAUUGUCAAUUAUUAAAUAAUAAAAAUUUAGAAUUCGAUUGAUAGAUCAAAUUAUAUAAUAUCUUCAUUGACCUAAACUAUGUUGUUGCUGUAUAUGCUUAUUCGAUAUUUACUCAUAUGUGAUAGUGAAUUGUUUAAUUUUGAAAUAUAAAUCUAUAUGCACUGAAUCACACCAAACACAGUAUUAUAAUAUAUGUAGUAGUCCACAUGGGCCUGGGCCUGCUAGAAUAUUUUGUAAAUACACAUAUGUAUCACUUCAGUACUAAUAAUAGUAUUAGCUUUUUGUUUGUUAUAAUUUCAAAUGACGUCUGCAACAUUUUGAACAAAUUCAUCUCACAAAUAUAUGUUAACAUGAUGUGUACUAACUAUAUUCAUGUAUUGACUUCAGUGGAUUGGAUUAAGCAACAAUUAUUAAGAUGUACACAAACGGUUAAAUGUGUAUCAAUUGUUUGACUUUAUAAAGAAUAAUGCAAAGUUCAAAUUUUGUAGUGUAGAUUUUUCUAAAAGUAGUGUAUG